Molecule: long non-coding RNA, 510 nt
Organism: Carcharodon carcharias (great white shark)
Lineage: Eukaryota; Metazoa; Chordata; Chondrichthyes; Lamniformes; Lamnidae
Exons: 4
Source: RefSeq, a predicted model, not a curated record
CUAACCCUGUGCUGUACCUGUCCUGGGAGUGUUUGAUGGGGACAGUGUAGAGGGAGCUUCUAGGUUUACAUAGUGCCAUACAGGUCACUCGGAAUCUUCCCUCUGCACUCAGUCAAUUACUUUGGAAGCCGACGGAUCAUUGUGCAGCCAUUCUGCACACAGAAACAAAUCCGAUAAGAAAUCCUCCACUAAGCAGGCUCCGAAGGAACAACCAAAAAAAGGGGAGCAAAAAGGAGAAACAAAGAAGCAAGGAGGUGAACAGAACAAAAAGAAAGACGGAGAACAUAAAGAUAGAGUGUAAAAAUCACCAGAUCCCGGCAGCCAAAGGCCAAGGAAUGGUAGCUUACAGAGCUUUCUGAAGAUGGCUUUGGAGAUUCUACUGGGAUCGUGUCGACGCAGACCCAAGAGGAAUCGAACGUCGUGCGAUCGCGUAGGCUAAGGAAGCUCCACACUUGGCCACUCUCUCAAAGCUUACACCUCAAAUAAACUAACUCAAGUCUUCCAAACAAA